AAUGCACCAAUUUGUAAGUCGCUCUGGAUAAGAGUGUCUGCUAGAUGAUGUAAA
This is a non-coding RNA of Salmo salar (Atlantic salmon), 54 nucleotides long. The record is from Rfam. Lineage: Eukaryota; Metazoa; Chordata; Actinopteri; Salmoniformes; Salmonidae.